This 62-nucleotide transfer RNA is filed under the name Dorcus curvidens. RNAcentral's name for it is "tRNA-His". Lineage: Eukaryota; Metazoa; Arthropoda; Insecta; Coleoptera; Lucanidae. The record is from RNAcentral.
ACUUAAAUAGUUUAAGGAAAAUUUUGAUUUGUGGGGUCAAGGAUGUAGGAAUACUUUAAGUA